GAGGUUAACUGAAUAAGGGAGCCGUAGAGAAAUCGAGUCUGAAUAGGGCGAUAGUCGCUGGGAGUAGACCCGAAACCGGGCGAUCUAGCCAUGUGCAGGAUGAAGGUUGGGUAACACCAACUGGAGGUCCGAACCGGGUAAUGUUGAAAAAUUAUCGGAUGACGUGUGGCUAGGAGUGAAAGGCUAAUCAAGCCCGGAGAUAGCUGGUUCUCCCCGAAAGCUAUUUAGGUAGCGCCUCGUGAAUGAUUACUGGGGGUAGAGCACUGUUUCGGCUAGGGGGCUGUCAUGGCUUACCAAACCGAUGCAAACUCCGAAUACCGGCUAAUUGAAUCACGGGAGACACACGGCGGGUGCUAACGUCCGUCGUGGAGAGGGAAACAACCCAGACCGCCAGCUAAGGUCCCCAAGUACUAGUUAAGUGGGAAACGAUGUGGGAAGGCAUAGACAGCCAGGAGGUUGGCUUAGAAGCAGCCACCCUUUAAAGAAAGCGUAAUAGCUCACUGGUCGAGUCGGCCUGCGCGGAAGAUGUAACGGGGCUAAAACUAGUCACCGAAGCUGCGGAUGUGCGCGAAGGCGCACGUGGUAGGGGAGCGUUCUGUAGGCUGAUGAAGGUGCAUUGAGAAGUGUGCUGGAGGUAUCAGAAGUGCGAAUGCUGACAUGAGUAACGAUAAUGUGGGUGAAAAGCCCACACGCCGGAAGUCCCAGGUUUCCUGCACGACGUUAAUCGGAGCAGGGUGAGUCGGCCCCUAAGGCGAGGCUGAAGAGCGUAGUCGAUGGGAACCAGGUUAAUAUUCCUGGACUUUUUAUAAGUGGUGAAGUGGGGACGAAGAAGGCUAGGUGAGCCAGGCGUUGGUUGUCCUGGUACUUGCAUGUAGGGGGGAAGACUUGGCAAAUCCGGUUUUCCAUAACUCUGAGGUGCGAAGUGGUUCUGACCUUUUGGUACAGAGAAGUCAUUGAUGCCCGGCUUCCAGGAAAAGCUGCUAGCCAUAACUUAUAGAGAACCGUACCGCAAACCGACACAGGUGGACAGGUAGAGAAUACUAAGGCGCUUGAGAGAACUCGGGUGAAGGAACUAGGCAAAAUGGUACCGUAACUUCGGGAGAAGGUACGCCCUUUUGGGUGAGGGCAUUUACUGUCUGAGCUUAAGAGGGCCGCAGAGACCAGGUGGCUGCGACUGUUUAUUAAAAACACAGCACUCUGCAAAUUCGUAAGAAGACGUAUAGGGUGUGACGCCUGCCCGGUGCCGGAAGGUUAAUUGAUGGGGUUAUCUUCGGAGAAGCUCUUGAUCGAAGCCCCGGUAAACGGCGGCCGUAACUAUAACGGUCCUAAGGUAGCGAAAUUCCUUGUCGGGUAAGUUCCGACCUGCACGAAUGGCGUAACGAUGGCCACACUGUCUCCACCCGAGACUCAGUGAAAUUGAAAUCGCUGUGAAGAUGCAGUGUACCCGCGGCUAGACGGAAAGACCCCGUGAACCUUUACUAUAGUUUUGCACUGGACUUUGAUGAUGACUGUGUAGGAUAGGUGGGAGGCUGUGAAGUGAGGACGCUAGUUCUCAUGGAGCCGCCCUUGAAAUACCACCCUGUUGUUAUUGAGGUUCUAACUUGGUCCAGUAAUCCUGGAUGAGGACAGUGUAUGAUGGGUAGUUUGACUGGGGCGGUCUCCUCCCAAAGAGUAACGGAGGAGCACAAAGGUACCCUCGGUACGGUCGGACAUCGUACCAAGAGUGUAAAGGCAAAAGGGUGCUUGACUGCGAGAGUGACGGCUCGAGCAGGAACGAAAGUUGGUCUUAGUGAUCCGGUGGUUCUGAAUGGAAGGGCCAUCGCUCAACGGAUAAAAGGUACUCCGGGGAUAACAGGCUGAUACCGCCCAAGAGUUCAUAUCGACGGCGGUGUUUGGCACCUCGAUGUCGGCUCAUCACAUCCUGGGGCUGAAGCAGGUCCCAAGGGUAUGGCUGUUCGCCAUUUAAAGUGGUACGCGAGCUGGGUUUAGAACGUCGUGAGACAGUUCGGUCCCUAUCUGCCGUGGGCGUAGGAAAAUUGAGAGGAGCUGCUCCUAGUACGAGAGGACCGGAGUGGACGAACCUCUGGUGCACCGGUUGUCACGCCAGUGGCAUGGCCGGGUAGCUAAGUUCGGACGGGAUAACCGCUGAAAGCAUCUAAGCGGGAAGCCUCCCUCAAGAUGAGUUUUCCCAUGAAGCCCGUUGAAGACUACGACGUUGAUAGGCAAGGUGUGGAAGCGCAGUAAUGCGUGAAGCUAACUUGUACUAAUUGGCUGAUUGUCUUGACCAUAUAAUCUGAG
RNAcentral lists this ribosomal RNA (2298 nucleotides) under Legionella pneumophila subsp. pneumophila. RNAcentral's name for it is "partial 23S ribosomal RNA". It matches the Rfam family "Bacterial large subunit ribosomal RNA", at positions 642 to 2925 of the family's 2925-position model. Lineage: Bacteria; Pseudomonadati; Pseudomonadota; Gammaproteobacteria; Legionellales; Legionellaceae. The record is from RNAcentral.